AUUGACAGCUGGCGGCAGGCCUAACAAAUGCAAGUCGAACGAGUGGCGGACGGGUGAGUAAUGUCUGGGAAACUGCAUGAUGGAGGGGGAUAACUACUGGAAACGGUAGCUCAUACCGCAUACCAUCAGAUGUGCCCAUAUGGGAUUAGCUUGUUGGUGGGGUAACGGCUCACCAAGGCGACGAUCCCUAGCUGGUCUGAGAGGAUGACCAGACACACGGGAACUGAGACACGGUCCAGAAUCCUACGGGAGGCAGCAGUGGGGAAUAGUGCACAAUGGGCGCAAGCCUGAUGCAGCCAUGCCGCGUGUAUGAAGAAGGCCUUCGGGUUGUAAAGUACUUUCAGCGGGGAGGCGUUACCCGCAGAAGAAGCACCGGCUUACUCCGUGCCAGCAGCCGCUGUAUUC
This 405-nucleotide ribosomal RNA is filed under the name uncultured bacterium. RNAcentral describes it as "partial 16S ribosomal RNA". It matches the Rfam family "Bacterial small subunit ribosomal RNA", at positions 35 to 525 of the family's 1533-position model. The record is from RNAcentral.